RNAcentral lists this ribosomal RNA (433 nucleotides) under uncultured bacterium. RNAcentral describes it as "partial 16S ribosomal RNA". It matches the Rfam family "Bacterial small subunit ribosomal RNA", at positions 29 to 507 of the family's 1533-position model. The record is from RNAcentral.
AACGAACGCUGGCGGCAUGCCUAACACAUGCAAGUCGAACGGAACCUUCGGGUCUAGUGGCGCACGGGUGCGUAACGCCUGGGAACCUGCACGUAGGUUCGGUAUAACUCCCCGAAGGGGAUGCUAAUACCGGUUAAGCUCUUAGGACCAAGGAUUUAUCGCCUUUGGGUGGGCCCGGGUUGGAUUGGCUGGUUGGUAGGGUAAAAGCCGACCAAGGCGACGAUCCAUAGCUGGUGGGAGAGGAUGCUCAGCUACACUGGGACUGAGACACGGCCCAGACUCCUACGGAAGGGUGCAGUGGGGAAUAUUGGACGAUGGGCGAAAGUCCGAUCCAGCCACGCCGCGUAAGUGAUGCAGCCCUUAGGGUUGUAAAGCUGCUUUAGCCGGGACGAUAAUGACGGUACCGGGAGAAUAAGCACCGGCUAACUACGUG